RNAcentral lists this ribosomal RNA (253 nucleotides) under uncultured bacterium. RNAcentral's name for it is "partial 16S ribosomal RNA". It matches the Rfam family "Bacterial small subunit ribosomal RNA", at positions 524 to 776 of the family's 1533-position model. The record is from RNAcentral.
UACAGAGGUCUCAAGCGUUGUUCGGAUUCAUUGGGCGUAAAGGGUGCGUAGGCGGCGCGGUAAGUCGGGUGUGAAAUCUCGGAGCUUAACUCCGAAACUGCAUUCGAUACUGCGGUGCUUGAGGACUGGAGAGGAGACUGGAAUUCAUGGUGUAGCAGUGAAAUGCGUAGAUAUCGAGAGGAACACCAGUGGCGAAGGCGAGUCCCUGGACAACUCCUGACACUGAGGCACGAAAGCUAGGGGAGCGAACAGG